UACGGGGGGGGCAAGCGUUGUUCGGAAUUACUGGGCGUAAAGGGCUCGUAGGUGGCCAACUAAGUCAGACGUGAAAUCCCUCGGCUUAACCGGGGAACUGCGUCUGAUACUGGAUGGCUUGAGUUUGGGAGAGGGAUGCGGAAUUCCAGGUGUAGCGGUGAAAUGCGUAGAUAUCUGGAGGAACACCGGCGGCGAAGGCGGCAUCCUGGACCAACACUGACACUGAGGAGCGAAAGCCAGGGGAGCAAACGGG
RNAcentral lists this ribosomal RNA (253 nucleotides) under uncultured bacterium. RNAcentral describes it as "partial 16S ribosomal RNA". It matches the Rfam family "Bacterial small subunit ribosomal RNA", at positions 524 to 776 of the family's 1533-position model. The record is from RNAcentral.